ACUCUAAUAGUUUAUAA
Molecule: transfer RNA, 17 nt
Filed under: Peucaea botterii (Botteri's sparrow)
Lineage: Eukaryota; Metazoa; Chordata; Aves; Passeriformes; Fringillidae
Description: partial tRNA-Thr
Source: RNAcentral